RNAcentral lists this ribosomal RNA (113 nucleotides) under Periophthalmus magnuspinnatus. The record is from RNAcentral. Lineage: Eukaryota; Metazoa; Chordata; Actinopteri; Gobiiformes; Gobiidae.
GUGAAUGAAAAUAAAUCUUGGAAAAGCCUGAUCUAGUCCAAUCUCUGAAGCUAAACAGAGCUGGUCCUGGUUAGUACUUGGAUGAGAGACCAAAGGGAAUACGAUGGACCACA